RNAcentral lists this unclassified non-coding RNA (374 nucleotides) under soil metagenome. RNAcentral describes it as "partial contains internal transcribed spacer 2 and large subunit ribosomal RNA". The stretch from base 1 to 120 matches the Rfam family "5.8S ribosomal RNA", at positions 35 to 154 of the family's 154-position model. The record is from RNAcentral.
GAUGAAGAACGUAGCAAAAUGCGAUAAUUAAUGUCAAUUGCAGAAUUCCGUGAAUCAUCGAGUCUUUGAACGCACAUUGCGCCUCAUGGCAUUCCGUGAGGCAUGCCCAUCUCAGCGUUAGAAAAUAUUCUCAAAUUUUAGUUUUGUGCUAAAAUUUGGAUCAUGUCAAGGAAGCUAUUACUAUUAUUGUGAUCGCUCUUUGGAAAUUGAUAGGUCUUUGAGUUGCUACUCAUAGAACGUGAUGAAUCUUUCUUCGUUCUAUUGUAAUUCACUCUGGUAGUCCUAAAACUUGUAUGCCUGUGGCAUAUCUUGUAAUUUGACCUGAGAUUGGGUAGGGAUACCCGCUGAACUUAAGCAUAUCAAUAAGCGGAGGA